CAAAAAUGAUAAAUGCUGAAAUCUAGCCCCUAAAUCUAUUUUAUGUGCAUAAGAGAACCGAAAGAAAUUAUUGUUCUGUGAGGAAAAUUACAACUAAGCAAGAGAGAAAAUCCUAUCUUUGUGACAUUGCACUGAUAUCAGAGAUUUCAGUGCUAACUCAUAGAGACUGAUAGGUGGUGGGGGUGUGGAGGGAGAGAGGAAGGAUAUGUUUCAAGAUCCUCACCCACAUAUUUGAAUUAGGAUACAGCCAAGAAAAGAUGCCAGGGAGGUUAUCCUCUCACCGCAGCCAACCAUUCCACACCUCCAGUCCUCACGGUUUCACUGUGCCUAGCUGAUUCCAGUUCUCAGUCAUCUGGAUUUGAGGUUUCAAGGUCUGUACAUACGGCGGCGCAUUCCCAGCUGCUCCUGCUUUGCCUUCUGCCUCAUCUUUACUUUCUCUGCUUCUCACUGCCCUUGCACAUGCCACGGUGGACUGGAUCUGUGGUGCCUCCAAGCUAG
RNAcentral lists this long non-coding RNA (498 nucleotides) under Fukomys damarensis (Damara mole-rat). Its description in RNAcentral is "lncRNA (ENSFDAG00000023669.1)". Lineage: Eukaryota; Metazoa; Chordata; Mammalia; Rodentia; Bathyergidae. The record is from RNAcentral.